CCUACGGGAGGCAGCAGUGAGGAAUAUUGGUCAAUGGACGAGAGUCUGAACCAGCCAAGUAGCGUGAAGGAUGACUGCCCUAUGGGUUGUAAACUUCUUUUAUAUGGGAAUAAAAUGUUCCACGUGUGGGAUUUUGUAUGUACCAUAUGAAUAAGGAUCGGCUAACUCCGUGCCAGCAGCCGCGGUAAUACGGAGGAUCCGAGCGUUAUCCGGAUUUAUUGGGUUUAAAGGGAGCGUAGGUGGAUUGUUAAGUCAGUUGUGAAAGUUUGCGGCUCAACCGUAAAAUUGCAGUUGAAACUGGCAGUCGUGAGUACAGUAGAGGUGGGCGGAAUGCGUGGUGUAGCGGUGAAAUGCUUAGAUAUCACGAAGAACACCGAUUGCGAAGGCAGCUCACUGGACUGCAACUGACACUGGGGCUCGAAAGUGUGGGUAUCAAACAGGAUUAGAUACCCUUGUAGUC
This 460-nucleotide ribosomal RNA is filed under the name uncultured bacterium. RNAcentral's name for it is "partial 16S ribosomal RNA". It matches the Rfam family "Bacterial small subunit ribosomal RNA", at positions 338 to 795 of the family's 1533-position model. The record is from RNAcentral.